Molecule: ribosomal RNA, 640 nt
Filed under: Basidioradulum radula
Lineage: Eukaryota; Fungi; Basidiomycota; Agaricomycetes; Hymenochaetales; Hymenochaetaceae
Description: eukaryotic LSU rRNA
Rfam family: 5.8S ribosomal RNA (bases 224-377)
Source: RNAcentral
AGGGUCUCGGAGGACAUUAUCGAGUUUUGAAGUGGGGUUUGUAGCUGGCGUUCAUUCGCACUGUGCUCGGCCUCCGCUCAUCCACUCAACCCCUGUGCACUUUCAAAGUCGUUGGAUCCUCCGUCAUGGGAGCAGCUCUUUAUUGAGUCGGGAUCUACACUUUGCUAUUAUAAACUUAUUGAUGUUAUGUGAAUGUGUUUGCCUUCGGGCUGAACUUAAAUACAACUUUCAACAACGGAUCUCUUGGCUCUCGCAUCGAUGAAGAACGCAGCGAAAUGCGAUAAGUAAUGUGAAUUGCAGAAUUCAGUGAAUCAUCGAAUCUUUGAACGCACCUUGCGCUCCUUGGUAUUCCGAGGAGCAUGCCUGUUUGAGUGUCAUGUUAAUCUCACUUUCCUUGACUUUGUUGUCUCGGAUAAGUGGACUUGAAGGCUGCCGGCCCCCUUAGGGGUCAGGCUCCUUUCGAAUGUAUUAGCUGGGCUUUCGCUCGUCCUUUGGUGUGAUAGUUUUAUUCACUAUCGGACUUGUGAUUUCGGUCUGCUUCUAAUCGUCUUCGGACACAUUCUUGACUCUGACCUCAAAUCAGGUAGGACUACCCGCUGAACUUAAGCAUAUCAUAAGGCGGAGGAAUUUAUCUUUCAUC